CACSGGCACCBCGAGUGGUWGCCRYUWUUAUUGGGCCUAAAGCGUUCGUAGCCGGUUUURUAAAUUCUUGGGUAAAUCGUACGGCUUAACUGURCGGAUUCCGGGGACACURCUARACUUGRGACCGGGAGAGAUUAGAGGUACUUGUGGGGGAGCGGUGAAAUGUUGUAAUCCURCAGGGACCACCAGUGGCGAAGGCGUCUAAUYAGAACGGCUCUGACGGUGAGGAACGAAACCCUGGGGAGCAAACGGGAUUAGAUACCCCGGUAGUCCAGGGCGUAAACGCUGCUGACUUGGUGUUGGACAUCCUACGAGGVUGUCCAGUGUYGGAGCGAAGGUGUUAAGUCAGCCGCCUGGGRAGUACGGUCGCAAGRCUGAAACUUAA
RNAcentral lists this ribosomal RNA (385 nucleotides) under uncultured euryarchaeote. RNAcentral describes it as "partial 16S ribosomal RNA". It matches the Rfam family "Archaeal small subunit ribosomal RNA", at positions 474 to 859 of the family's 1478-position model. The record is from RNAcentral. Lineage: Archaea; Methanobacteriati; Methanobacteriota.